RNAcentral lists this ribosomal RNA (253 nucleotides) under uncultured bacterium. Its description in RNAcentral is "partial 16S ribosomal RNA". It matches the Rfam family "Bacterial small subunit ribosomal RNA", at positions 524 to 776 of the family's 1533-position model. The record is from RNAcentral.
UACGGAGGGUGCAAGCGUUGUUCGGAAUCACUGGGCGUAAAGCGCGUGUAGGCGGCUUGCUAAGUCCGAUGUGAAAUCCCGGGGCUCACCCCCGGAAGUGCAUCGGAUACUGGUAGGCUAGAGUACCGGAGAGGAAGACGGAAUUCCUGGUGUAGCGGUGAAAUGCGUAGAUAUCAGGAGGAACACCGGUGGCGAAGGCGGUCUUCUGGACGGAUACUGACGCUGAGACGCGAAAGCGUGGGGAGCAAACAGG